UACAGAGACUGCAAGCGUUAUUCGGAUUCACUGGGCGUAAAGGGUGCGCAGGCGGCCAAGUGUGUGAGGCGUGAAAGCCCGGGGCUUAACUCCGGAAUUGCACCUCAAACUACAUGGCUAGAGCAUUGGAGAGGGUAGCAGAAUUCACGGUGUAGCAGUGAAAUGCGUAGAUAUCCGGAGGAACACCGGUGGCGAAGGCGGCUUCCUGGACCGACACUGACGCUGAGGCGCGAAAGCUAGGGGAGCAAACGGG
This 253-nucleotide ribosomal RNA is filed under the name uncultured bacterium. RNAcentral describes it as "partial 16S ribosomal RNA". It matches the Rfam family "Bacterial small subunit ribosomal RNA", at positions 524 to 776 of the family's 1533-position model. The record is from RNAcentral.